RNAcentral lists this transfer RNA (59 nucleotides) under Clevea hyalina. RNAcentral describes it as "partial tRNA-Phe". It matches the Rfam family "tRNA", at positions 1 to 57 of the family's 71-position model. From Rfam's summary of the family: Transfer RNA (tRNA) molecules are approximately 80 nucleotides in length. Their secondary structure includes four short double-helical elements and three loops (D, anti-codon, and T loops). Further hydrogen bonds mediate the characteristic L-shaped molecular structure. tRNAs have two regions of fundamental functional importance: the anti-codon, which is responsible for specific mRNA codon recognition, and the 3' end, to which the tRNAs corresponding amino acid is attached (by aminoacyl-tRNA synthetases). tRNAs cope with the degeneracy of the genetic code in two manners: having more than one tRNA (with a specific anti-codon) for a particular amino acid; and 'wobble' base-pairing, i.e. permitting non-standard base-pairing at the 3rd anti-codon position. Lineage: Eukaryota; Viridiplantae; Streptophyta; Marchantiopsida; Marchantiales; Cleveaceae. The record is from RNAcentral.
GCCGGGAUAGCUCAGUUGGUAGAGCAGAGGACUGAAAAUCCUCGUGUCACCAGUUAAAU